Erinaceus europaeus (western European hedgehog) is the source of this 158-nucleotide small nuclear RNA. Its record names the gene U1. It matches the Rfam family "U1 spliceosomal RNA". From Rfam's summary of the family: U1 is a small nuclear RNA (snRNA) component of the spliceosome (involved in pre-mRNA splicing). Its 5' end forms complementary base pairs with the 5' splice junction, thus defining the 5' donor site of an intron. The record is from Ensembl. NCBI's taxonomy places the organism in Eukaryota, Metazoa, Chordata, Mammalia, Eulipotyphla, Erinaceidae.
AUACUUACCUGGAAGGGGAGAUAUUAGGAUCAUGAAGGUGGUUUUCCCAGAGUGAGGCUUAUCCAUUGCACUCCAUAUGUGCUGACCCCUGUAAUUUCCCCAACUGUGGGAAACUUGACUGCAUAAUUUGUGGUAGUGGGAGACUAUUUGCACUCUGC